CUCACACACCUCAGGACACACACCUCAGGACACACACACACAACCCCUCACACACCUCAGGACACAACACCUCAUACACCUCAGGACACACACACAACACCUCACACACCUCAGGACACACACACAACUCUCACACACCUCAGGACACACACACAACCCUCACACACCUCAGGACACAUAUACAGCCUCUCACACAUCUCAGGACACACACACAACCCCUCACACACCUCAGGACCCACAUUCCCACGGUUAGAAUGACGUGCAGGGACAAAAAGUGCCUCGUUUCCUCUUUGUGGUAGUUUCUUCAUUCAUUC
RNAcentral lists this long non-coding RNA (314 nucleotides) under Pan troglodytes (chimpanzee). RNAcentral describes it as "long non-coding RNA NONPTRT015406". The record is from RNAcentral. Lineage: Eukaryota; Metazoa; Chordata; Mammalia; Primates; Hominidae.